Long non-coding RNA from Sander lucioperca (pikeperch), 802 nucleotides. RefSeq lists it as uncharacterized. The record is from RefSeq and is a predicted model, not a curated record. The transcript is spliced from 2 exons. Lineage: Eukaryota; Metazoa; Chordata; Actinopteri; Perciformes; Percidae.
AGAGACAACACUUAUGCCAUAUUACGAUAUCCAAAAUCUAAGACGAUAUCUAGUCUCAUAUCACGAUAUCGAUAUAAUAUCGAUACUGUAUAUUGCCCAGCUCUAGCGCCCGGUCUAUUUUCACAUGAGCUGUUCAGACAGCCGGCCAGGAAGUGAAACAGCGAGAGCAUCCAGUCAAUUUACCCCCCCCAAUAUCCUAUACAGGUAUGUCGCCUCUACAACACCACGGAAAACAAGAGAUUCAUCUUGGAGGUGGAAAAACACAAUAGACACACAUUUAUUUUUUUUUUUUUUAAGGACAACGCCAGAAAAGAGAAGGCAUGGAGUUUAACUGUAGGAGUGCCUUGAGUGGACGGUAGAUACUAGCUAAUAAACACGCGAUUGUUCUGUACAGUACAAAGUAGAGACUGUAAUCUGCUAGUCGAGACGCUCCCCGUGUGGCGCGUGGCGAAGGACGGAAUAAAACCGGAACGCAGCACAGACACGCCCAGUGGAGAAUCCGGGUAACUGGGACACUUGACAAGUCAAAAUGUCUGCUGUGAAAAAGCUCCAUUUGGCUGAAGAUUUCUCAUUUUCUGUUGGAAAAAGGAAACGUAUACUCUCCUGGCAGAGAUACACUGAGCUCAAUAUAUAUUUAGUCUGGUUGUAAUGUUUCUGUGUGUAUUAUAUAUUGUAUCCAAAUGGAUGAACUUAUACGGAUACGUUAUCCAUAUAAGUUAUAUUAUAAAUGUAUAUUCUUAAUGAAUUAUUUUAUAUUAGUGGCUGUUAUGUUAUUAACAUAAUAAAUGUGUUGCUUUCUAAA